GCCCAUGUAGCUCAGGCGGUAGAGCACAUCCAUGGUAAGGAUGGGGUCGCCGGUUCAAAUCCGGCCGUGGGCU
This 73-nucleotide transfer RNA is filed under the name Candidatus Omnitrophus magneticus. It matches the Rfam family "tRNA". From Rfam's summary of the family: Transfer RNA (tRNA) molecules are approximately 80 nucleotides in length. The record is from Rfam by way of RNAcentral. Lineage: Bacteria; Pseudomonadati; Candidatus Omnitrophota.